ACUCGUGACCUCGCCAGCUCUCAGCUCCCUCGGGCGAUUUCGUGCACGCUAAUGUGCGCCUCUGUGUUUUCCUAAAUGCUGGUUUCUUCAUCAAGCGGCGGAAUAACGCAUCAGGGCAGGUGACCCACGUCACCGGGGUGAUGCACUGGUGCUCGCCGGGGCGGGCGCUGUGCCUGCGGGAGCCGCGCGGCCGGCGCGGUGUCGGGGCGCCUCGUGGGGGCCGAGCCGCGCCCGCACGUCCCUCAGGUAGGCGCGACCAGAGUUUCUUUAGACAGGAUGACCUGGCAGCGUUUCCACCCCACCCACGGCGAGUUUCGCUUUCCUAAUGUGGUUAAAAAGUGCGUUCUAUCUGAAAUAGGGUGGUUGAACAGGUUUCAACAUUUUACUUAAUUUUUUGUUUGUUUUAGAUUUCUUCCUUCUGGUGGGUCUCUUUCUUUUUCUGUCAAGAAGAUGUUCAUAACUGUCCUCUUUGGCAUUUGUUCAAAGUCCAGUUCUAAUAGCUUUUGGACUGUGGUUUAAUUUUAACCAUAAAGCAUUCUUUUGGAAUAAUUGCUUUUGAAUCUGGGAAGAGCCAGCUGGAUACAAGGCCAUAAACACCCCCCUGCGGGGAAUGUACAGGCUUUAAGUUACGUUUUUUUACCACUAGCAUUUCUCUUUAUCUUUUUUCUUUUUUUGGAGACAGGGUCUGGCUCUGUUGCCCAGGCUGGAGUUCAGUGGUACAAUCAGAGCUCACUGCAGCCUCAUCCUCCUGGGCUCCAGCGAUCCUCCCAUCUCAGCCUCCCGAGUAGCUAGCUGGGACCACAGGCACGCAUCACUGGCUAAUUUUUUUUUUUUUUUUUAGAGACAGGGUGUUGCUAUGUUGCCCAGGCUGAUCUCAAACUCCUGGUCUCAAGUGAUCCUCCUGCCUCAGCCUCCCAAAGUGCUGGAAUUACAGGCCUGAGCCACCAUGCCUGGCCUAGCAUAUCUCUUUUUUUAAAAAAAGGAGACUGAUGGGGGUUGGGGGGAUGCAAAUUGUGAGUAGAUAGGUGGGAUUGGAGGAGAGUUUGAACAUCUGCUUUAAUCAACUAAAUGGUGUCUUAGAGCUGUCCUGCGGGCAACCAUGUGGCCUCAGAUUUCUGGGACAAUCUCAAUUUCUGGGACAGAGGACUGGCCCACUGGCCCUUUGUUAGGCUACGCAUCAGACCACCACCAAUUUCCAGUUCUGAAAUUGUGGUCACCAGAGAGACCUAUCAGCAGCCAUAGACAUUAUCUCCUUCGGAAUGACUGGACCCAGGCAGCCAGGCAGAGCUGGGGUCCCCAGAGCUCCUGGCACUAGCCGGAAUAUUUCCAGUUCCUCUUCUUCCCUUACAGCACAAGUCCUUUGGUAAUCAUUGCUCAUAUUUGUAGAACCUUAGAGAAUUUUGGAUGUAGCAGGACAGAAAUUGGUUGCCUGCCAUUUUGUGGCUUGGGUGGCAUACAUCUUGUUUGGCAAUUAAAAAAAAAAGAUGAGAAGAAAAUGGGAUAUGCAAUGGAGACCAAUUCAAGAAAAAGUGAUUUAUGCCAGUCCUAGCUGAGGCAGAUGAAUUUGGGAAGACUUACUUGUUUUCUAGAAAUAGUCUUCACUUGACCAGAGAUUCAUACUUGGGCGUAUUUAAAUACAGAGCUCUUCUGGAGCAUUUGACUAGAAGGACAGAAAACCAGAGACUAAUUAACCAGUUGUUACCAGCGGGAAAUCCGUUUUUGUUUGUUUGUUUGUUUGUUUGUUUUCUUUUUGAGGCGGAGUCUCGCUCUGUCGCCAGGCUGCAGUGGAGUGGCGUGAUUUUGGCUCACUGUGCAAUCUCUGCCUCCUGGGUUCAAACCAUUCUCCUGCCUCAGCCUUCCAAGUAGCUGGGAUUACAGGUGCACUCCACCACACCCAGCUAAUUUUUGUAUUUUUAGUAGAGACGGGGUUUCACCAUGUUGGCCAGGAUGGUCUCAAUCUCCUGAUCUGGUGAUCUGCCUGCCUUGGCCUCCCAAAGUGCUGGGAUUAUAGGCGUGAGCCACUGCGCCAGGCCAAGAGAUCAGUCUUACAUGAAAAUCAAGGGUUCAGUUACCCAGUGGGUCAGUAAGAGAUGAGGCUUUCAUUUAGAAAAACCGGAGCCUGAGGCCGGGCGCGGUGGCUCACGCCUGUAAUUCCAACACUUUUGGAGGCCAAGGCAGGUGGAUCACGAGGUCAGGAGUUCAAGACCAGCCUCGCCAAGAUGGUGAAACCCUGUCUCUACUAAAAAUACAAACAUUAGCUGGGCGCAGUGGCAGGCAGCUGUAAUCCCAGCUACUUGGGAGGCUGAGGCAGGAGAAUCGCUUGAACCUGGGGGGCAGAGAUUGUGCCACUGCACUCCAGCCUGGAUGACAGAGUGAGACUCCAUCUCAAAAAAAAAAUUAAAUUAAAAAUAAAAGUAGAAAAAUUGGAGCCUGUGCAGCUCUCCUGAGGGCAGAUGCAUAAAGCUGGGUGCGCCCCUCCAGCCUGCUGGGUCCCACAGAAGCUCAAGAGGCAGGGGCCAUGUCUUUCACCACUUGUCACUGCUAUAAUUCCCUGUUUAGAACUCUCAGUGAGUGUCAGAUCAACACAUUCAUCCACCAUAUCCCGUGUGUAUAAGAACAAUCCAUCACUCCUGACCUAAUCCAGCACAGAACAGAACUUCUGGAAGAGGACUAAAGAAGAGAAAGAGUGGAAGUGUCACAUGCCCAGAGGAAAAUAGAUGCGACAGAGAUGAAUAAAACAAAACAAAACAAAAGGAAGAAAGCCAAGCUAAUCUGGGAGUUCCAUCACGGCUAAGAACGCAUCUUUGUUUUGUCACGCGGUUUCUAGCCCGGCUCAGACCUGGGCUGCGGCACCUCAGGCAUCUCCUUUCAUCUCUCGGCUUUUCUCCUGGCUCCCGGGCGCUUCUCGAGACUUUUUGGACCUGGACUGGUCCAUGGCAGAACACCUCUUUCCUGAGUCCUCCCUAUGCACCUGCCCAAAGCGGGGGAUUGGGGUGGCACUCUCCAAGAUGCCAGGCUCCUCAAAUGGAGCCAUCACCCCCUAGGCUGUACUUGGCAUUGUCUCCAAGGAGCCUGGGGAGGUAACCGGUUGGGGACUGAUUCACUUGGGAGGGAGGGAGCGAGUGCAGAUUGCAGAUGCUAUCUAGUCGGGCCAAGUCAACCUGGGGAAGGGCAGGUCUGUGUCUCAACUGGUUUAGGGGUGGGAGAGUGGGAUUGGAACUUUUACACCUUGCAUUCUUAGGACGUCACAAUGGUUUUCCCAAGGCCUCCUUAUCUGAGGGUGUUUACCUAUUCAACCAGCAUACGCAGGUUCAGGACUCCCACUUUGUCCGGGUUCUGUCCUCACAGGCACAGGAAGAUUAAUGCGAACAACAGGGUCUGACAAACCAAAACUCACAGAUAAGAGACUUGGGUUAUUAGGGCAGAUGCCAGAAGUCAUGGGAUCUUCACGGGGUGGCUGUAGGCUGAGCAAUCUCCCUCGGGAUGUGAGGGGGUGUAUUUCUGCGUUAUUGGUCAUUGAGAAAUUCCCUAAUCUUAGAGAGAAAAGGAAUGAAACCAAGGGCUUGAAUCGGAGUAUACGUAGUUGACCUAAUUAUAAGGUUGUCCAUCCAUCUGUUUAAUAAAUAGUUCCAUGAUGUGGGACGGCAAGGUCACUCAUAGCCCUGAACAUUAACAACGUUUUCCUAAGGUUCUGGAAAAAAAGUGGUAACCAUGUGUUCAGCUGCAGGCUUGUUCUGUCUCAGGCCUCAGGCUGACAUGAAUCAGAAAUAGAGGGAAAUGUGGAAGUGGCAUUGCAAAUAUUAGUUCUAAAAACGGACUGGGAAGAGAGAGUGCCUCUAGACCCAGUCAUGGCCUAGCCAAGCCCCAGAAGAAUGACAUCACCCAUUGUGCCUCGUGGGGAGCCCCUGAGGCUGUCAUGGAUUUGUAGUCCUAUGUGGGACAGCGCUGCUGACGCGGUUAUUUCCUGCACUAGACCUACCCUGUCAGCAAGACACUGUUUACAUGAGCUGAGUGCCAAGUUGCGGCACAUUAUGCACAAUCGCUUUUAAGUUCAAUUAAAUUAACGUUUAGAAACAUUGUAGAUAGAAAAAGCUAAAGAGCAUUUUAGCAAACAGUGAUUACCUAGAGAUGCAAGUGCUUUGAAUUUGAGCAUUAGAGAACUUGUGAAUUUGUAGGAGUUAAGCAGGACAAGUACCCAUCUAAUGAAUGUUCAUAAGGGAAGCGCGCGUGUAGGAGGCAUUUCAGGUAGCCCAGCGCAGACCAAGGAGGGAAGGAAACAGAUAAGAUGUCAGAAAACAUCUUCAAAUACCCAGAGUUGUUAUCCCCUCCACGAAACAUUGGAGGGCGAAUUGUUUGGGUCAGUAAAAUAGAAUCAUAAAGUGUGAAGAAGAAACCUGUGGAACAUUCUGGAAGAAUUGGUCAGAGAUGGGCCGGGCGUGGUGGCUCACACCUGUAAUCCCAGCACUUUGGGAGGCCGAGGUGGGUGGAUCACCUGAGGUCAGGAAUUCAAGACCAGACUAGCCAACAUGAUGAAACCCCGUCUCUACUAAAAAUACACAAAAUUAGCCGGGCGUUGUGGUGGGCGCCUGUAAUCCUAGCUACUCAGGAGGCGGAGGCAGGAGAAUUGCUUGAACCCGGGAGACAGAUUGCAGUGAGCUGAGAUUGCGCCACUGCAGUCCAGCCUGGGCAACAAGAGCGAAACUCCAUCUCAAAAAAAGAAAAAAAAAAAAAAAGAAUUGGUAAGAGAUGAAUACCCCAUCACAGCCUCUUUGAUUUCAGAGGUGAAAUAGUUGAACCCCAGACCUCACUGUCAGAUGUAAAGAGUCACUCCAAAUUUAUAAGCUCAUUAAACUAGUAUUUCUGACCGUUUACACAUUUGGCUGUAGAGAAAAUACACAGAAUGCUUCCAGCCACACCUAUGCCUACUCAAGCCACUUAGCUGACAAGCCACUUAGCUUUUUCUUCUAAUUACUCGGGUGCGCGUCUCUGUUAUUUACAAAGUUUGGUGAAGUCAGGGCAGGGGGAAUUUAUGGUUCGAUACCCUUUCUAGCACAGAGGGGUAAAAUUCAGCCUGUCUUUUGAAAUCAGUCUGAACUGUCAAACUCCCAGUUGAGGACUCCUCUCCCCAAAUCAGGAAUCUUUUUUGUUUUCUCUGGCUAUGGGCCACAGUCAGGGCUUUGGAGUUCAUUUGUAUGCCCUCCCCCAUCCCCAUUAGUGUUAUUGUGUAUAUUUGAGGUACUUAUUCUUCACUGACCAUAGGUGAAUAGGAGCUGGUUCACCUAAAAGCUCCCACUCCCCAUUCACUUUUUUUUUUUUUUUUUUUUUUUUGAGAUGGAGUCUUGCUCUGUUGCCCAGGCUGGAGUGCAGUGGUGAGAUCUUGGCUCAAUGCAACCUCUGCUUCCCAGGUUCAAGCGAUUCUCCUGUCUCAGCCUCCUGGGUAGCUGGAAUUACAUGUGCCCACCACCACACCCGACUAAGUUUUCGUAUUUUUAGCAGAGACGGGAUUUCAUCAUAUUGGUCAGGCUGGUGUCGAACUCCUGACGUCAGCUGAUCCACCUGCCUUGGCCUCCCAAAGUGCUGGGAUCGCAGGUGUGAGCCACCGCACCCAGCCCCCAUUCACUUUUGUUUUAGGAAAUGAGAAAGCUUCUGCCUUUUUUCUUUCCUUCCUUCCUUGGAUGUUAGUUAAGAUCAGUGAGGUAAUGGUGAUAAAGUACUUUGAAUUACCUCAAGGAGAGUGCAGCCCAACUUGUUAUUAUUUACCUAGGUCAGUUCACAAACCCCCACGAUCUAGGGUUCCUGUCUCCUGCCCUGGGGAUGGUGCCUGGGAGAAAGGAGAUGUCACAGACCCAGUCCCACAGGGCGCUGUUGGCUGGAGUUGGUCAUUCCUUACUUUGACAUCAACAGGCUUAUCUCUAGAAAUAGGCUAAAUGGUAGCUCAGGCGCCGGUGUUGCCUCAUCCCGCAAACUCCCAGGGAGGCUGCCUACUUCCAGCCCCUGUUCUGGGAACUAAUGAUAGGUGGGAUGAAAAGACUGUUUCCUCUGAUGCGCUUUUAUGAGUUGUUUUCGAAGAUGAGGUGGCAAGGACAUGGUUAACCCGCUCCCUUGUGCAGGGAGACAUCAGAAUGACAGGGCACGGGGAAUCUCCCCAACCCGUUCCCAGGAGAGCUCUUGCCGAGGACGGCCCAGCUGUUAGCCAGAAAUCAAGGCAGCCUCAAGCCCUGUAACCCAGAUAUCAGUGGGCUUUUUCGGCUGACGGUGCUGUGGCCUGCGGCAGGCGGCAGUGUGGGUAGAGGACAGCUGUGGCUGAGGCCGGCAGCUCUUUCCACACGACUUCUUGGGUAAUGGCUCUUCUUAAGCCUGUGAUAUUUAGGGAUUGUCAAACUUCCCUUUCAUCCUGAGCCACCUUCCCUCAUGGGUAGCAGAGGAGUUGGAUUUCUUUCUUUUCUUUUCUUUUUUCUUUUUCUUUUUCGACAGAGUCUUGCUCUGUCGCCCAGGCUGGAGGGCAGUGGUAUGAUCUCUGCUCACUGCAACCUCCACCUCCCGGGUUCAAGUGAUUCUUCUGCCUCAGCCGCCCGAGUAGCUGGGAUUACAGGCACGCACCACCACGCCCAGCUAAUUUUUGUAUUUUUAGUAGAGAUGGGGUUUCACCAUGUUGGUCAGGCUGGUCUCGAACUCUUGACCUCAGGUGAUCCACCUGCCUUGGCCUCCCAAAGUGCUGGGAUUACAGGCGUGAGCCACCAAGCCCGGUCAAGGAGUUGGAUUUCUUAUGACAAGAGUAUUAUGGCUGUGUGUCCCAGAGGAGGCACUGUGUCCUCAUGAGGGUCCUUCACUGAAAGGAGAGCCUCGAGGACAAAGGAAUCUUCUAGAGACGACGUUGGGAGGGAGGAGUGGAGUUUGCAGGUGACUCUAGAGGACCCCAAAGUCCAGUGGGAGCUCAUUACCUCCUCGAUAGGAGGAGCCUGUUGUUGUAUGAGUGAGGAAAGGUGGCAGAACCGAGGCUGAGAGAGGCUGCGAAGAUGCAGCAGCAGUGCUGAGGCCUGAGAGGAGGACACGUUCUAUUACGCCAAUUAAUUCUACCCACCGAAAGGGCACAUCACAUUUUUGGGGUUGCCAAAAGCCGUUCUUAGCAGUAAAAAGUCUGUGAACUGCUGCACUGGGGAUUGGCAAAGGCUUGGUAGCCAGCGCAUUGAAGAGGGAGGGACAGCAAGCCUCACACCGGGAGUGGAUCCUUCCUGUGUUUCUGCCACCACAGUUUGCCAGUUUGAUGCCAAGGGACUCUUACUGUUUAUGUGUGCAUGUUUGUGCUGUUAGAUUAUCUUCUGAGCAAUUUCAAGUUUUAAGAAUAUGUUGGUGAAGUCAACAAUGAACAAUUCCAGGAGACUUGGUUCCACCCGGGCCCUGCUCAGGAAAGAUGAGGAGCCCCUCCCAACCCCACCCCUGCCUGUCCACAUGGCCCUUCCUCCCCAUCAUCCACCAUGGGGCCCUCCUGUGCCACAACAUGGCUCUCAUCCUUCUGUCUGGACACUUGCCCUGCCUCCUGGAGAGCCAGGCUCCUGCCCUGGCGGGCAUGUGAGUGUGCAUGUGUGUGAGUGUGCAUGUGUGAGUGUGCGUGUUUGCGAGUGUGCACGUGAGUGCACGUCUGAACGUGUGUGGGAGUGUAUACGUGAGUGCACGUCUCAACGUGUGUGCGAGUGUGCAUGUGUGUGCGAGUGUGUACGCGUGAGUGCACGUGUGCAUGUGUGUGCAAUUGUGCGUGUGUCUACGUGUGUGCAUGUGAGUGCAUGUGUGUGUGAUUGCGUGUGUGUAUAAUUGUGCACGUAUGUGAGUGUGCAUGUGUGUACAAUUGUGUGCGUGUGUGUGAGUGUGCAUGUGUGUGCAUGUGGCACGGAGGGGGAAGAAGAGAGUUCUCCUCUGUGGUGAUCGCCACCAUUCAGUUGAAGGGUUUAAGCUGAGCCAAGAUGAAGCAAGAGUGACACCAAGUGCCAAGAACAAGUGCUUGCUGUGGUAUCAGGUGUGCUCUCUCCUCAAAUCAGAGGAGCAGAGAGAAGCUCAGUUCCAGUCUGCAGUGUUCACCCCUGUGAGAGGGUGCCGACCCAUCCAGAGGUGGCCAGCCCCCUCCAGAGGUGGCUCAGUGCUGGCAUGCCACUCUGCCCAUUUGGACAAGGGGAUGGCCUCUCUGGGAAUUGGAUGCGGAACCGAAGCUUUGAAUAGAUUUAAAAAAUAAAAUCCAAGGUGGGAUGUUUUGUUGGCUAGAACAUGAUGCACAGACCCAGAUUGCCGUUCUGGCCCUAUUGCUGUCCUUCAGCCCCAUUCGGAGAAUGACCAGACCCCGAGGCCACAGUAGGACAAAGAAGAAGACUGACCCAGUUCUCUGUUUCCUGCUGCCAUGCCCGGGCCUCUGCUGCCAGAAGUCUUCCCCAUGAAGCCAUAGGUGGGGGACUAAAAGGCAUAUUCCUGUGGGGUGACCCCGAGAGAGACUGGGCAUGGUUUCCACCGAGGCACUGUUGGGGGCAGAGAAUUCUUUGGUUGCCGGAGAGGACCACCUGGUGCAGACCAGACCUGCAGCUGCGGCUUCAGGGUAGGAGCAUGGCCGCCUUGGUGUCGCCAUCUGGCCAGUCCUUGUUCCUACAGUUCCACUCCCAGCCGUGUCCUCAGCUUGUACCCACUUGUUUUUUUCCUUCAUGGAAGCUAAGGAGGGGACUGGGUUUGUUUGUCCAGAUGCCACCAGUUGGAUGACCGUUGCGGGUACAGGAGUGUCUUCACCACGCAGUGCCAGGCCAGGUCCCACCUCACAUCUCUAUUCCUCAUCUGGGAAUGCUGGCAUCAGCAGGUUGAUUCAAAACUAGGAGGUGUUGGGAAACCCCUUGGGCUGGAGAUUUCGAACUGAGAUUCAGAUGAGAAAAAACAUAGUGGGUGGGGUUCUGAGGCAGGAAGGAGACAGCAAAAGCUCCUGUCCUGACGCUCCGCUCGAUAGCGGGGAUCAACAGAGCGGCCUGGCAUGGUUGGGGGCAGCUGCGCUGGCUGAACCCAGGUGCAAGGCUGGCCCUGGACGGCCUCUCCCACCUCUGGACACAGAGCCGCCCCGUGCCUCUCCAUUCACCAGGCAAAACCACACCUGGAGUGGCGCGUUCAGUCUGGGGCAUGUUGGCACCAGCAGGUGUGGAUAAAUCCAAGGGCUCCUUCGGAGGGAGGGCAGGGGAGGAGGGCUGGCAGGAGUAUGGGGAGAAAAGCUGUUUGAAAAGAUUGUAAAAGGCUGUGGGAGAAUUCAGAGAGGGGGCGAGUGAUGAAGGGAGGACCACGCAGCUCAGGAGCCACAGCCUGGGUGGCCUGGGCGGCAAGGGCAGCCCCCAUUCUGCUGUUGAGUGGCUGUCUUGCCGUCUGCACUCCCUCGUCAUACAGUCCUCCCUGUGCGUUAGCUCAGGACAGCCUGGCAUCGGUGGCUCCUGGUGGCAGGUGCCUGUGACAUGAAGAGCACAGAGGAAGACGCUGGCUAGAUCCAGAGGCAGAGAGAGGAGGACAUGAGGAGAAGGUGAGGGAAACUGAGGAACAAGGAGAGGAAGAGCAAUUAAAAUGAUUCCUUGAAAGAAAAGGAGGUAAAACAGAAAACGUGGCGAGGGGUAUCCUAGAAGGAGCAGAAAAGGAAGGAAAAAAAGGGUGAACAUUGUCUUUCAUUUGAAGGACUUGGAGUGGCACAGUCAAGAACGAGUCUCCAAACACAGUCAGUACUCAGAAAGCUCAUCAUUGGAUUUGUAAAUCCAUUUCAUCUGGGUGGACUGAAGAACGUGGUACCCUCUGAGGAUGUCAGGGCCCAUAUUGUGGGAAAGUCAAGAGUGGCGCCGCAACAAACUAGCUAAUCAGUUAUGAACACGAGGGGCUCAUGAUUCAUGAGCCUGCCCAUCUAUCUCGUGCAGGGUGGAGACCCAUCUAACCGGAACCACCACCCAGCCUCUCCCAGCCUCCUUAGAUGACAAGCUCUGGCAUCCUCGGUCCACCCAACUCAGCCCCCAAGCAUUUCGCCAAAACAUCAGUAAGCAGGUAUAGGUGAAGGAGGUCACAGGUGUCUCCAUUUUGUGCCGUUUUCUCUCCUUCCCAGUGCUCAGCACACGACUAACCAGGGGUUCUCAUCAGGGGCCGUAUAUUCACUCCUGAAAGGGUAGUCAGCAGGUCACCAAACACCUUCCUCUGAACUCAGAAUAAGUUUAUUUUUACUUAAUUUUUUAAAUUAAAAUAAAUUUUUUUAGGCCGGGUGCAGUGGCUCACGCCUGUAAUCCCAGCACUUUGAGAGGCUGAGGUGGGCGGAUCACAAGGUCAGGAGUUCAAGACCAGCCUGGCCAAUAUGGUGAAACCCCAUCUCUAAAAAAUACAAAAAAAAUUACCCGGGCGUGGUUGCGCAUGCCUGUAAUCCCAGCUACUCGGGAGGCUGAGGCAGGAGAGUUGCUUGAACCUGGGAGGCAGAGGUUGCAGUGAACCGAGAUCCUGCCACUGCACUCCAGCCUGGGCAACAGUGUAGGACUCUCUCACAAAAAAAAAAAAAAAAAAAAAAAAAAAAAAUUCUGGGACAGAGUCUCGUUCUGUUCACACAGGCUGGAAUGCUGUGGUGUCAUCAUAGCUCACUAUAACCUCAAACUCCUGGGCUCGAGUGAUCCUCCCACCUCAGCCUCCCAAGUAGCUGGGACUAUAGGCCCUGCCACUGUAUCUGGCUAAUUUUUAAAUAUUUUGCAGAAACGGGAUCUCACAAUGUUGGUCUGAAACUCCUGAGCUCAUGUGAUCCUCCUGCCUCAGCCUCCCGAGUUGCUGGGAUUACAGGCAUGAGCCGCCGUGCCCAGCUAGUUUAUUUUUAUAUUCUGUAUUACUGUGGACCGGAAAAUCCAAGAGUUUGCCUGUACCCUAUGGGAAAAUUGUCUCUCAGCUGCAACGUGCCCAGCGUUCUCAGCAGUCAGGGCAAAUUCAACUACAGCAGCCACCGCCCAUCUUACCGAAGCUAAACCAGACAUGGAUGUUAUUAUCUGCUGCAUCCAGCAUUUGUUUAGAGCUUUCUGCUUCACAAAGCAACUCAUUAUCUUAAUCUUCACCAUCAUCCUACAUUGCUCUUACUUCCACUUUAUGAACAGUCAGUCUCAGAAAGCUAAGGCAUCUUCCUCAAAGCAGCUGUAGGAUUCAAACUGUGUGUCCGGGGACUCCAGAUUCUUUGUGCUUUCUACACAUUUAGAUUUCAUGGUAACAUCAAAAAUCAGGAUUCCUGGAUCUGGAGCAGUUUAUUCCCUCGGCCUUCCUCCCACCCAUUGCCAUCCCAGCCCAUUUCUAUAACCAUCAAAUGGGCAAUGUUUUUUUUUUUUUUUUUUUUUUGAGACAUGGUCUCACUCUGUCACCCAGGCUGGAGGGCGGUGGCGCAAUCUCGGCUCACUGCAACCUCUGCCUCCCAGGUUCAAGCGAUUCUCCUGCCUCAGCCUCCUGAGUAGCUGGGAUUACAGGCGCCCGCCAGCAAGCCCUGCUAAUUUUUUUGUAUUUUUAGUAGAGAUGGGGUUUCGCCAUGUUGGCCAGGCUGGUCUCAAACUCCUGACCUCAAGUGAUCCACCCGCUUCGGCCUCCCAAAGUGCUGGGAUUACAGGCGUGAGCCACCGCGGCCGGCCUAAAUUGGCAAGAAUUUUCACUGUUCAAUGAAGAACAUCCUUUUGCAGCCAAUUAUUCCAACAUUGCCUUCCUGAAGGACUCUUUCAAAAUCAUCAAGAAGAUUUCACUACAAAAGCAAUAUGGGAAUAUUGUAGAAAAAAGUACGAAAUAUAGAAAAAAGAAAAUAAAAGUCAUAAUUCUGCCAUUGAACAAGAAUUUAAGAUUUUUACUUCCAUGAUUUUUACUACAGACAUAUGGACUGACUUACGUUUAUAAAAAUGACAAGGGUGCCUACCCCAUAAUACUGUUUUGGAACCUGCUUUUAAAUUUAAUAUAUUGUAAGCAUUUUCCUGAAAUAUUUUUUGCCAUCAUAUUUAAGAGAUACACAUAUUUCAUUAUAGUUUUUCUUUUUUUGAGACAGGGUCUCACUCUGUUGUCCAGGCUACAGGGUACAGUGGUGUGAUCUCAGCUCACUGCAAUCUCCGUCUCCCAGGUUCAAGCAAUUCUUGUGCCUCAGUUUCCCAAGUAGCUGGGACUACAGGAGCACGCUACCACGCCCGGCUAAUUUUUUUUGUAUUUUUUGGUAGAGACGGGGUUUCACCAUGUUGGCCAGGCUGAUCUUGAACUCCUGACCUCAAGUAAUCCGCCUGCCUUGCCCUCCCAGAGUGCUGGGAUUACAAGUGUGAGCCACCACACACAGCUUACUUAAUUAUAAUUUUUAAUGUACUCAGGUUAAAUAUUUAGAUUGUUUCUACUUUUUCAAUAUUAUAACUAGUUUUAUGAUAGGCUUUUUUUUUUUUUUUUUUUUUGAGCUAGAGUCUUGCUCUGUCGCCCAGGCUGGAGUGCAAUGGCAUGAUCUCGGCUCAUUGCAACCUCUGCCUCCCAGGUUCAAGCUAGUCUCCUGCCUCAGCCUCCUGAGUAGUUGGGAUUGUAGGCACG
This 12549-nucleotide long non-coding RNA is filed under the name Homo sapiens (human). RNAcentral's name for it is "non-protein coding lnc-CFL1-1:4". The record is from RNAcentral. Lineage: Eukaryota; Metazoa; Chordata; Mammalia; Primates; Hominidae.